RNAcentral lists this ribosomal RNA (428 nucleotides) under Chloroflexota bacterium. RNAcentral describes it as "Chloroflexi bacterium partial 16S ribosomal RNA". It matches the Rfam family "Bacterial small subunit ribosomal RNA", at positions 355 to 776 of the family's 1533-position model. The record is from RNAcentral. Lineage: Bacteria; Bacillati; Chloroflexota.
UGGGGAAUAUUGCACAACGGGCGCAAGCCUGAUGCAGCCAUGCCGCGUGUAUGAAGAAGGCCUUCGGGUUGUAAAGUACUUUCAGCGGGGAGGAAGGGAGUAAAGUUAAUACCUUUGCUCAUUGACGUUACCCGCAGAAGAAGCACCGGCUAACUCCGUGCCAGCAGCCGCGGUAAUACGGAGGGUGCAAGCGUUAAUCGGAAUUACUGGGCGUAAAGCGCACGCAGGCGGUUGAUUGAGUCAGAUGUGAAUCCCCGGGCUUAACCCGGAAAUUGCAUCUGAUACUGGUCAGCUAGAGGCUUGUAGAGGGGGGUAGAAUUCCAUGUGUAGCGGUGAAAAGCGUAGAGAUGUGGAGGAAUACCGGUGGCGAAGGCGGCCCCCUGGACAAAGACUGAAGCUAAGGUGCGAAAGCGUGGGGAGCAAACAGG